UACGUAGGGGGCAAGCGUUGUCCGGAUUUACUGGGCGUAAAGAGCUCGUAGGCGGCUUGUCGCGUCGGCUGUGAAAUCCCGUGGCUCAACUGCGGGUCUGCAGCCGAUACGGGCAGGCUAGAGUUCGGUAGGGGAGACUGGAAUUCCUGGUGUAGCGGUGAAAUGCGCAGAUAUCAGGAGGAACACCGAUGGCGAAGGCAGGUCUCUGGGCCGAUACUGACGCUGAGGAGCGAAAGCGUGGGGAGCGAACAGG
Molecule: ribosomal RNA, 253 nt
Filed under: uncultured bacterium
Lineage: Bacteria
Description: partial 16S ribosomal RNA
Rfam family: Bacterial small subunit ribosomal RNA
Source: RNAcentral